RNAcentral lists this ribosomal RNA (251 nucleotides) under uncultured bacterium. Its description in RNAcentral is "partial 16S ribosomal RNA". It matches the Rfam family "Bacterial small subunit ribosomal RNA", at positions 524 to 773 of the family's 1533-position model. The record is from RNAcentral.
GACAGAGGUGGCUAGCGUUGUUCGGAUUCAUUGGGUGUAAAGGGUGCGUAGGCGGUUUAGAAAGUCAAAUGUGAAAGCCCACAGCUCAACUGUGGAAAUGCAUCUGAAACUACUAGACUCGAGUGCGAGAGAGGUGAAGGGAAUUCCCGGUGUAAGGGUGAAAUCUGCAGAGAUCGGGAGGAACACCAGUAGCGAAGGCGCUUCACUGGCUCGUAACUGACGCUGAGUGCACGAAGGCGUGGGGAGCAAAC